CUCAGUCGUUGCUGAGCUGGGGUCACCAUCUGUGGGCACAGAGAUCUGUCAACUUUGGGGAAGUUUGGCUGGCAGGAGCCUCAGGAUUAUUAAGUAAGCAGAUGAAUUUCUGUCCCCCUGAGUGGGAUGAAGAUAAUGAGACCAUAUUCACCUUCCCACCGAG
Odocoileus virginianus texanus is the source of this 163-nucleotide non-coding RNA. Lineage: Eukaryota; Metazoa; Chordata; Mammalia; Artiodactyla; Cervidae. The record is from RefSeq and is a predicted model, not a curated record.